UUGCAGUUUGAUAAACGUCGCUGGGUA
RNAcentral lists this non-coding RNA (27 nucleotides) under Bombyx mori (domestic silkworm). The record is from RNAcentral. Lineage: Eukaryota; Metazoa; Arthropoda; Insecta; Lepidoptera; Bombycidae.